AACGAACGCUGGCGGCAUGCCUAACACAUACAAGUCGAACGAGACCUUCGGGUCUAGUGGCGCACGGGUGCGUAACGCGUGGGAAUCUGCCCUUGGGUUCGGAAUAACAGUUAGAAAUGACUGCUAAUACCGGAUGAUGACGUAAGUCCAAAGAUUUAUCGCCCAAGGAUGAGCCCGCGUAGGAUUAGCUAGUUGGUAAGGUAAAGGCUUACCAAGGCGACGAUCCUUAGCUGGUCUGAGAGGAUGAUCAGCCACACUGGGACUGAGACACGGCCCAGCCUCCUGCGGGAGGAAGCAGUGGGGAAUAUUGGACAAUGGGCGAAAGCCUGAUCCAGCAAUGCCGCGUGAGUGAUGAAGGCCUUAGGGUUGUAAAGCUCUUUUACCAGGGAUGAUAAUGACAGUACCUGGAGAAUAAGCUCCGGCUAACUCCGUGCCAGCAGCCGCCGUAA
This 449-nucleotide ribosomal RNA is filed under the name uncultured bacterium. RNAcentral describes it as "partial 16S ribosomal RNA". It matches the Rfam family "Bacterial small subunit ribosomal RNA", at positions 29 to 523 of the family's 1533-position model. The record is from RNAcentral.